UGGGCAAAGCGGGUAGUUUUCUUGGCCCCAUGAGUAAAGGAUAUAGGUUGUCUUAUGUGCUUUUACACAAUAAAAGUAUAACUGAUGCCUUGAUCUUAACUUUGUUAAACUGUGAUCUCGAACUCCUGACUUCAGCUCUCAGCAACCUGGCUUAGAGGCUUCACUAGGAAGGUGUGCCCUCCUCCAUCCCACCAUUCUACAGGAGUUUUCACACUGCUCUAGAGACACACCCAAGACUGAGUAAAUGGACUAAUACAGAACCUAAGAUUUUAUAUCAAGCAAAAACCUUUUCAAGUAUCUUUAUCAGCAUGGAAGAACUCAGAUAAUAUUGUUCCUUUGACUUCUUUUGAAGGAAUCUACUAAAGAAUAAGUUUCAGACAACUAAAUUUCUGCAAAUAUCAACAGAAGGACUGGUGAUGAGAAGUAUGUUGUUACUUGUAAAACCAACAUGAGUGAGGAUUUAAAAGAAGAGAUUGUAAAAUGUGAUACCUGUAUAAUCUGAUAAUUAUGACAAAGAAUGGAGAUAACAUAUAUAAACAACAUUUUAAGUGUUUUAAUAAUGAUAAUGUGGUAGUAUUAGUAUUGUUCUGAGAAUAUAGUAUGUGGAGUAAAGCAAAUGUAUAACUACGGGAUAUUUUAAUUAUCCCACAUAUCUUUGAGAAGUAGGAUUCUCAGUGUGGGGGAAAGAAGAUACAAAUGGAAUAUAGAAAUGGUUAAGUAAAAACCUUGUUUUUUCUCAAUCUGAAAAUAAAAAUCUUCUAUUAACUCGAGAUAUACA
RNAcentral lists this long non-coding RNA (778 nucleotides) under Piliocolobus tephrosceles (Ugandan red Colobus). Its description in RNAcentral is "lncRNA (ENSPTEG00000001655.1)". Lineage: Eukaryota; Metazoa; Chordata; Mammalia; Primates; Cercopithecidae. The record is from RNAcentral.